GCUGAAAGCAGUAUUUGCAGAGAAAGAUGUGUGGAACAUUCUUGGAGCCCUGCUGGAGCAGGAGACAAACAAAGCCCUCUGGUUCCUGAAGCAGUGUGUGACUCUCUUCAAGAGCCCACAGGUUCCCAUCCGCUGGGCAGCUGUGUGGUUUGCAGGCCAGAUUAUCCAAACCCUAGACUUGGAAGAGAUUGAUGAAAUUGAGGAGGCGUACACAGCCCUAAGGCACAUGCAGAGAGACUCUGACCCCAUGGUCAGCUGCCUCACCACACAGACUUUCUAUAUCCUGGAAGCCAAGAAGAAGCUGCUACUGGCCAAGGCCCCGACCUCCUGCUUCUGCAGGAGGAGGCCCCAAAGGCACUACUUCUGAGCCUGCAUCCUUGAGUCUCAGAUGUAGGCCUGACCAUCAGACCCUGUGACAAUGGGGCCAGAUUCCUGGGUCCUGCGCUAGAAAUGGAGGUAUAUCCCUGCAGAAUCUUUGUAAUAAAAGGAAAAAGCAU
Molecule: long non-coding RNA, 497 nt
Filed under: Cercocebus atys (sooty mangabey)
Lineage: Eukaryota; Metazoa; Chordata; Mammalia; Primates; Cercopithecidae
Description: lncRNA (ENSCATG00000045764.1)
Source: RNAcentral